AUGUUUGUACUGGUAAUAGCAUAAAGCCGAAGAAAGAGAUGUCUGUGGUAAGAGGAAUUCUACUGCUGCCUUCUGCCCGGAUCUGCUUGAUGUGUUAAGGAAAGAGAGAGAACAUGUGUACUUGGCUAUCGCGGUGUCAAAGUUGCCUUCCGUCCUUGGUGCGGAGUGCAGGACAGCAUGGUAUUAGGAGAACAGAGUGUCUUUCAUGGAGACGGAGGCAAAGAGAACACCACGCUACCUUCCCAGCACAUCUGAGUCUACCUGCUUCUGCAGCAUCAAGAGUCCACAGCAGGAAAGAUCUUGCAUGGCGACACUGUUCCCAGGCACAUUUCAAGGUCCACUAAAUUUGCCUGGGAAAUGCACUGAAACUUCAGUCAGCUCUUCCAGUGUGUAGAAGGCUUUCCUUGCAGAAGAAGAAGGACGAGCCUUCCCCCUCCCCACCAACUCCCACUCACAGAGCAAAAGAUGAAAGACAGGAAUGCGCCUUAUGCAAAACUAACACCCAGAUGUGCCUUCAGUGAAGUAAGUGGACUUGCAGAUAUAAACACACACACACACACACACACACACAUGAAUCACUUUAUGGUUUCUGACCUAACCAAUUGAAGUGUUACUCAAAUUUAAUUAUUUUGACGAUGGAUGUAUUUUUGUUCGUCUAAUUGUAGCUUACAUUUUAUGCAACAAAUACAGGCAUUUUGCUUCUUGAGUAAA
Molecule: non-coding RNA, 711 nt
Organism: Myodes glareolus (Bank vole)
Lineage: Eukaryota; Metazoa; Chordata; Mammalia; Rodentia; Cricetidae
Source: RefSeq, a predicted model, not a curated record